Phacochoerus africanus (Common warthog) is the source of this 271-nucleotide long non-coding RNA. RefSeq lists it as uncharacterized. The transcript has 3 exons. The record is from RefSeq and is a predicted model, not a curated record. Lineage: Eukaryota; Metazoa; Chordata; Mammalia; Artiodactyla; Suidae.
UGUAGAUGCUGCAUAUAACUGGUGUCUUCAUGUAGACUUAUUCUGAAGAUUUUUAAAUGACUUUGAGAAUGUAUAUAAACUUUUACUUAAAAGGACUUUACCAUGUGCCAACCACUGUGACUUAACUGAAACUGUGGGACUGUGGAAUGGAUGAAAUUGAAAUUGCCUCACAACAGAAGGAGAAGAGAAUCUAGCCCUGGGAAACUCCAACAUUUAAAAGAUGAAACUGUGGUUCAGAAAGGAGAUGUGAAAUGCUUCAUUAAGAUUUUCU